RNAcentral lists this ribosomal RNA (440 nucleotides) under uncultured bacterium. RNAcentral describes it as "partial 16S ribosomal RNA". It matches the Rfam family "Bacterial small subunit ribosomal RNA", at positions 339 to 795 of the family's 1533-position model. The record is from RNAcentral.
CUACGGGUGGCACCAGUAAGGAAUAUUGCACAAUGGGGGAAACCCUGAUGCAGCAACGCCGCGUGGACGAAGAAGGCCUUCGGGUCGUAAAGUCCUUUUCUGAGGGAAGAGGAAGGACGGUACCUCAGGAAUAAGUCUCGGCUAACUACGUGCCAGCAGCCGCGGUAAAACGUAGGAGGCGAGCGUUAUCCGGAUUCACUGGGCGUAAAGGGCAAGUAGGCGGUUGUUUAAGUUAGGUGUGACAUCUCUCGGCUUAACUGGGAGGGAGCGCUUAAAACUAGGCAACUAGAGGGCGGAAGAAGGGGGUAGAACGCCAAAUGUAGCGGUGGAAUGCUCAGAUAUUUGGAAGAAUACCAGUGGCGAAGGCGACCCCCCGGUCCGUGCCUGACGCUGAGAGGCGAAAGCUAGGGUAGCGAACGGGAUUAGAUACCCGUGUAGUC